UACGUAGGGGGCGAGCGUUGUCCGGAUUCAUUGGGCGUAAAGCGCGGGCAGGCGGCCCGCUCAGUCGGCCGUGAAAGCGCCGGGCUCAACUCGGCGCGGUCGGGGCGAUACUGGCGGGCUGGAGGCUGGUAGAGGGCGGUGGAAUUCCGGGUGUAGUGGUGGAAUGCGUAGAGCUCCGGAGGAACACCUGUGGCGAAAGCGGCUCACUGGACCAUUACUGACGCUGAGGCACGAAAGCUAGGGGAGCAAACAGG
Molecule: ribosomal RNA, 254 nt
Filed under: uncultured bacterium
Lineage: Bacteria
Description: partial 16S ribosomal RNA
Rfam family: Bacterial small subunit ribosomal RNA
Source: RNAcentral